Sipha flava (yellow sugarcane aphid) is the source of this 698-nucleotide long non-coding RNA. RefSeq lists it as uncharacterized. NCBI's taxonomy places the organism in Eukaryota, Metazoa, Arthropoda, Insecta, Hemiptera, Aphididae. The record is from RefSeq and is a predicted model, not a curated record. The transcript has 2 exons.
GUAUCACACAUUUUUUUAACGAUUUUGAGUAAAUAAUAGUUAAUAAUAGUAAUAGUAAAUAAUAAUGACUGGGGAUUCCCAGCUAUAGGUAGAACACAUUACAUUGGUAGACCGCAUAUUGGAAGAUAGCCUAUAAAAUAUUACCUGAAACCAUAGCCAUGUUAUUUGUUGAAUUUACAAUAGAAUUUAAAGUUCAUAAAAUUCUUCUUCUUCUUCUUCUUUGUCUGGCCAUUCUACUCCCUAAGAGUUUUAGCCGUCACUACAAUAUCCUGCCACUUUUAUUUGAUCUCUUGUCCGAGGCUUCGAUAUUUGUGAUAUCAUAAAAUUAGUUUUAAUUAGGUAGGGUUGUUAGUCUUACACUUAACCCCUAACCUGGAGGACCAGACCUCCCCAGUCAACUAAGGCCAGGGAGGUUGCUAUUGCAGCAACUAGUCCUGAGCGAUGGGAGCGCCACUUUCCUUACGCCAGACUUAAUUUAUCACACGAAAAAAUAAGAUUAGAAGAGAAAGAAACUUAUGUGAUGUAAAAAAAAAUAAACAUAUAUUUUUUGUUUUAUUUUCAGUGUUGUAACUAAACAUAGAGGUUACUUAAUGCAAACACUACUAGAUAAAGAAGUAUAUGAAUGGUUGUAUGCUAUAAAUCCUCUUUUGGCUGGUCAGAUUCGGUCAAAAACUUCACGGCAAAUAAUGCCCAACGGA